AACGCACAUUGCGCCCGCCAGCAUUCUGGCGGGCAUGCCUGUUCGAGCGUCAUUUCAACCCUCGGUUUCCCUUUGGGGAAGUCGGCCGUUGGAGAUCGGCGAUCCAUAUCGGAUCGCCGGCUCCCAAAUUUAGUGGCGGCCCGUCCGCGGCGACCUCUGCGUAGUAACAACCACUCGCACCGGAGACCCGACGCUGGCCACGCCGUAAAACAACCCAAUUUCUGAAUGUUGACCUCGGAUCAGGUAGGAAUACCCGCUGAACUUAA
RNAcentral lists this unclassified non-coding RNA (266 nucleotides) under Hypocreales sp. RNAcentral describes it as "partial contains 5.8S ribosomal RNA, internal transcribed spacer 2, and large subunit ribosomal RNA". RNAcentral also lists the same sequence under 1 other name. Lineage: Eukaryota; Fungi; Ascomycota; Sordariomycetes; Hypocreales. The record is from RNAcentral.